ACUCCCCCCCAACGCCCAAAGCCCAAGGGCUUCGUCGGGCCCUGCCUGUUGGCCCGCCCCAUCUGCGGCCAGGGGAUGGGCGCGGGGUCAGCCGGCCGGCACCCAGCCUCCCCACGCCGUGUCCUUCCAGCCUGGGCCCCGACAUUACUGGCGCUGCGGCAACCUCGGCUAAGACUGCGGGCGCUGGUCAGCGGCCGGAGCGCCGGGAGCUACACGUCCCCCCCGCGGGGUGGGAUCGAGGGACGAACCUGGCCUGGAGGGCCCUGCGGCCUCCGUUCUCGGUCUUGCCUGGCGCGCGCCGUUAAACACAGAGCGGAGCAAAGACGGAAGGAAAUGGUAGCUGAGCACUGGGCGAGGGCAGAGGAUUGCUUGGGCUGCUAUUCUGAAAUGAGACAGGAGAGGAUCAAGGCCCAAUGCAGGAAGACCCUCUAGGAGGCUACUCCGUGAUCCAGGGCACCUAGAAGAAAAUUGAACUUUUCUGACGUUAGGCUGUCUCCUCACAACUUGAUGAUGCCCUCAGGCUCUAGUGAGUUAAUCAGAAGGAAGAUUGACCCAGGUGGGCCUGACGUAAGCAGGCAAGCCCUUUAAAAGAUGAUUUAGAGGUUCAGAGGUUUUCUCUCCUGUUGGCUUUGAAGAAGUAAACUACCAUGGAUUCUAUAGCAGCAAGAAGAUUAAUUUGGCCAAAAACCACAUGAGCUUGGAAGAGGACCCUGAGCCUCAGAUAAGAACACAGGCCUGAGCAACACCUUGACUGCAGUGCUGUGAAACCCUGAGCAGAAAAUCCAGCUUAAGCUAUGUCUAUACCCUCAACCCAUGGAAACUGUGAGAUAAUAAAUGGGUAUUGUUUUAUGCUGA
Long non-coding RNA from Lagenorhynchus albirostris (white-beaked dolphin), 855 nucleotides. RefSeq lists it as uncharacterized. NCBI's taxonomy places the organism in Eukaryota, Metazoa, Chordata, Mammalia, Artiodactyla, Delphinidae. The record is from RefSeq and is a predicted model, not a curated record. The transcript has 4 exons.